This 339-nucleotide ribosomal RNA is filed under the name Luteimonas sp. M16.3.2. RNAcentral's name for it is "bacterial SSU rRNA". It matches the Rfam family "Bacterial small subunit ribosomal RNA", at positions 1159 to 1497 of the family's 1533-position model. The record is from RNAcentral. Lineage: Bacteria; Pseudomonadati; Pseudomonadota; Gammaproteobacteria; Lysobacterales; Lysobacteraceae.
AUACUGGAGGGAAGGUGGGGAUGACGUCAAGUCAUCAUGGCCCUUACGGCCAGGGCUACACACGUACUACAAUGGGAAGGACAGAGGGCUGCAAACCCGCGAGGGCAAGCCAAUCCCAGAAACCUUCUCUCAGUCCGGAUCGGAGUCUGCAACUCGACUCCGUGAAGUCGGAAUCGCUAGUAAUCGCAGAUCAGCAUUGCUGCGGUGAAUACGUUCCCGGGCCUUGUACACACCGCCCGUCACACCAUGGGAGUUUGUUGCACCAGAAGCAGGUAGCCUAACCUUCGGGAGGGCGCUUGCCACGGUGUGGCAGAUGACUGGGGUGAAGUCGAACCAUAU